UUCGCAAUGCCCGAAAGGGUGACGAAGCGACGCCGCGUGUGGGAAGAAGGCCUUCGGGUUGUAAACCACUGUCAGGGGUUAGGAAGUGUAAGGGUGUUAAUAGCGCCUUUGCUUGACUAAAGCCCCAGAGGAAGCCACGGCUAACUCUGUGCCAGCAGCCGCGGUAAUACAGAGGUGGCAAGCGUUGUUCGGAAUUAUUGGGCGUAAAGAGCACGUAGGCGGCUCUGCAAGUCAGCUGUGAAAGCCUUCUGCUUAACGGAAGAACAGCAGUUGAUACUACAGGGCUUGAGUGCGGUAGGGGAGAGUGGAACUUCUGGUGGAGCGGUGAAAUGCGUAGAUAUCAGAAGGAACACCGGCGGCGAAAGCGACUCUCUGGUCCUUAACUGACGCUGAGUGUGCGAAAGCUAGGGGAGCAAACGGGAUUAGAUACCCCGGUAGUCCUAGCCGUAAACGAUGGGCACUAAGUAGAGGGGUUUU
Molecule: ribosomal RNA, 477 nt
Filed under: uncultured bacterium
Lineage: Bacteria
Description: bacterial SSU rRNA
Rfam family: Bacterial small subunit ribosomal RNA
Source: RNAcentral